Molecule: ribosomal RNA, 521 nt
Filed under: uncultured bacterium
Lineage: Bacteria
Description: bacterial SSU rRNA
Rfam family: Bacterial small subunit ribosomal RNA
Source: RNAcentral
CUACGUGCCAGCAGCCGCGGUAAUACGGAGGAUGCAAGCGUUAUCCGGAUUUAUUGGGUUUAAAGGGUGCGUAGGCGGUAUUACAAGUCAGGGGUGAAAUCUUGGUGCUUAACAUUAAAAUUGCCUUUGAAACUGUGGUACUUGAGUGUAAAAGAGGUAGGCGGAAUGUGUUGUGUAGCGGUGAAAUGCAUAGAUAUAACACAGAACACCGAUUGCGAAGGCAGCUUACUAUCAUACAACUGACGCUGAUGCACGAAAGCGUGGGGAUCAAACAGGAUUAGAUACCCUGGUAGUCCACGCAGUAAACGAUGAUUACUAGCUGUUAGCGAUAUAUUGUUAGUGGCUAAGCGAAAGCGAUAAGUAAUCCACCUGGGGAGUACGGCCGCAAGGUUAAAACUCAAAUGAAUUGACGGGGGCCCGCACAAGCGGUGGAGCAUGUGGUUUAAUUCGAUGCAACGCGAAGAACCUUACCUACUCUUGACAUCCAUGGAAUCUUGUAGAGAUACGGGAGUGCUUCGGGA